Neopsephotus bourkii (Bourke's parrot) is the source of this 1194-nucleotide long non-coding RNA. RefSeq lists it as uncharacterized. Lineage: Eukaryota; Metazoa; Chordata; Aves; Psittaciformes; Psittacidae. The transcript is spliced from 3 exons. The record is from RefSeq and is a predicted model, not a curated record.
GGGAAUAGCACGCCCUUAGCAUGCAGGGGGCGGGGGAAAGGGUGAGCAGGCGCUUCCUAUUGGCCUGCGCUCUGCCAAUCAAGCGCGGCGGGCCCGCCCCCGGCCCCGCUCGUGGACGUUCCCCAGAAGGCGAAGCGGGGAGAGGUGCUGGUGUGCGCGCCGCCGCCAGGGCCGGCGCAGGUGGAGCGGGCGGCUCUUUAUGCUUGCGGUUGUCGCUGCUGUCCGACUCCUUCCUCCCGGCUGCGGGGCGCAGCUGCCCGGGGGCUAUGGCGGAGGCGCCCGGCGGGCGGUAGCUCGGCAGCAGUGAUCUCACCACCUCAAAAGAAGUGGGCUGCCUAGCACUCAUCGGCUAUUUGGAGCUGGCAUUAUUGCUGAAAGAUUACAAAUUUGUAACAGGACAGCUCCAGAGGCAGUGGACCCUGAAACAUAGGAGGUUCCCUCUGAUCAUAAGGAAGUACUUUUCUCACUGUGAGCAUGAUUGAGCACUGGCACAGAUUGCCUGGAGAUCGUGUGGAAACUCUCUCCUUGGAGAUAUUCAGAAACUGUCUGGACAUGGUCCUGGCCAGGUGUCCCUGCCUGAGCAGGGUGGAUGUACCACGUGACCUGCAGAGGUCCCUUCCAACUUCAACCAUUCCAUGAUAAUUCUGGUAAUGUAUUUUGAAGUUUAAUGGAGUGCAGCUUUGCUCUUCAAACUCUGUUAGAUCUAGAAGUGAGUUUGGAAAAGCCAGCCUGGUGUUUCUCUCCAGUCUUGUCUGGGUCUUAACUGCGUCAGUAAGCAGCCACCUUUCAUACAACAGGGUGCACCAUUGUUGGAAUAGGCUUAUUACGGAGGAUUGGUUGUGUUUGACAGAAUUUGACUUCUAGACAUAAAAGAGAACUAGAACUAAUGGGGUUAUCUAAUUUGCCAAUACUAAGGUCAGAUAACAAGGAAUUUAUAUAUGAAGUGGUAUAAUCUAGGCUAAAUUUAGUCCUGUAAUUGAACUACAGUAACAACCAUGUUUAGGAAGAAGACUUGAUAUUUGUUUGCUUUCUGAUUAAGACCAAACAAUGGAAGGAAAAGAAUUUAGGUGUUGGUCUGCAGUACUUUGUCAUGUUUUGGCAGGAGAGCUACUGUGUUUUAAAAAGUGAAUUCAGUAUGGUACCCUUACUAGAAUCAAUAAACGUUAUUUAUUGAAUAAAAUGAUGGACAGUUAA